Molecule: unclassified non-coding RNA, 222 nt
Filed under: uncultured Agaricomycetes
Lineage: Eukaryota; Fungi; Basidiomycota; Agaricomycetes
Description: sequence contains ITS2
Source: RNAcentral
ACACCUCAACUCCUCAUGGCUUGCCAUGAUGAGCUUGGACUCUGGGGGUCUUGCUGGCCUACGGUCGGCUCCUCUCAAAUGAAUCAGCUCUGCCAGUGUUUGGUGGCAUCACAGGUGUGAUAACUAUCUACGCUUGUGGUUUUACACCAGGUAACCUUCGGUGACGGAGGUUCGCGCUGGGGCUCAUAAACGUCUCUCCUCAGUGGGGACAGCUUUUUGAAC